This 492-nucleotide ribosomal RNA is filed under the name uncultured bacterium. Its description in RNAcentral is "partial 16S ribosomal RNA". It matches the Rfam family "Bacterial small subunit ribosomal RNA", at positions 29 to 507 of the family's 1533-position model. The record is from RNAcentral.
AGUGAACGCUGGCGGUAGGCCUAACACAUGCAAGUCGAACGGCAGCACAGUAAGAGUUUGUUUUUACGGUUGGCGAGUGGCGGACGGGUGAGGAAUACAUCGGAUUCUACUUUUUCUUGGGGGAUAACGUGGGGAAACUGCCGCUAAUACCGCAUAUGACCUACGGGUUAAAGCAGGGGUUCUUCGGACUUUUCGUGAUUGAAAUAGCUGAUGCCGGAUUAGCUAGUUGGGGGGGUAAAGGCCCACCAAGGCGACGAUCCGUAGCUGGUCUGAGAGGAUGAUCAGCCACACUGGAACUGAGACACGGUCCAGACUCCUACGGGAGGCAGCAGUGGGGAAUAUUGGACAAUGGGCGCAAGCCUGAUCCAGCCAUGCCGCGUGGGUGAAGAAGGCCUUCGGGUUGUAAAGCCCUUUUGUUGGGAAAGAAAAGCAGCAGGUUAAUACCCCGCUGUUCUGACGGUACCCAAAGAAUAAGCACCGGCUAACUUCGUG